This is a non-coding RNA of Arabidopsis thaliana (thale cress), 199 nucleotides long. The record is from RefSeq. Lineage: Eukaryota; Viridiplantae; Streptophyta; Magnoliopsida; Brassicales; Brassicaceae.
AAGCAUUGUUUUUCCUCUCCUUGGAGAAAGUACAUGCAAAAUCAAAAUUAAUGGCUCCGACUUUUCGAAUCACCGCAAGCUACUAUCUCUUCGAGUUCUGGUUAUAAUAGUACUUGAUUAGAUACUUCUUAUAAGGCUUAAAAGCCAACUUAAAUGCUAUUGCAGUAAAGAUUUCAUUCCUUCUUCACUUCACUUUACG